UGGGAACCUUCCCUAUGGUUCGGAAUAGCUCAGGGAAACUUGGGGUAAUACCGGAUAAGCCCUUCGGGGAAAGAUUUAUCGCCAUUGGAUGGGCCCGCGUCGGAUUAGCUAGUUGGUGAGGUAACGGCUCACCAAGGCAACGAUCCGCAGCUGGUCUGAGAGGAUGAUCAGCCACACUGGGACUGAGACACGGCCCUGACUCCUACGGGAGGCAG
RNAcentral lists this ribosomal RNA (215 nucleotides) under uncultured bacterium. Its description in RNAcentral is "partial 16S ribosomal RNA". It matches the Rfam family "Bacterial small subunit ribosomal RNA", at positions 118 to 351 of the family's 1533-position model. The record is from RNAcentral.